CAGCACCUCAAGUGGUCAGGAUGAUUAUUGGGCCUAAAGCAUCCGUAGCCGGCGCUGUAAGUUUUCGGUUAAAUCUGUACGCUCAACGUACAGGCUGCCGGGAAUACUGCAGCGCUAGGGAGUGGGAGAGGUAGACGGUACUCGGUAGGAAGGGGUAAAAUCCUUUGAUCUAUUGAUGACCACCUGUGGCGAAGGCGGUCUACCAGAACACGUCCGACGGUGAGGGAUGAAAGCUGGGGGAGCAAAACGGAUUAGAUACCCGGGUAGUCC
This 270-nucleotide ribosomal RNA is filed under the name uncultured archaeon. RNAcentral describes it as "partial 16S ribosomal RNA". It matches the Rfam family "Archaeal small subunit ribosomal RNA", at positions 477 to 747 of the family's 1478-position model. The record is from RNAcentral.